Molecule: transfer RNA, 74 nt
Filed under: Candidatus Uzinura diaspidicola str. ASNER
Lineage: Bacteria; Pseudomonadati; Bacteroidota; Flavobacteriia; Flavobacteriales
Description: tRNA-Gly (GCC) (tRNA-Gly-GCC-1-1)
Rfam family: tRNA
About the family: Transfer RNA (tRNA) molecules are approximately 80 nucleotides in length. Their secondary structure includes four short double-helical elements and three loops (D, anti-codon, and T loops).
Source: Rfam by way of RNAcentral
GCGAGAAUAGCUUAGUUGGUUUGAGCAUUACCUUGCCAUGGUAAGGGUUGCGGGUUCGAAUCCCGUUUCUCGCU